UGAGCAAUCUGCCCUUCUCAUCGGAAUAAGCGUUGGAAACGACGUCUAAUGCCGAAUACGACCUCCUUUCGCAUGAUCGGAGGUGGAAAGCUCCGGCGGAGAAGGAUGAGCUCGCGGCCUAUUAGCUAGUUGGUGUGGGUAAUGGCCCACCAAGGCGACGACGGGUAGCCGGCCUGAGAGGGUGACCGGCCACACUGGGACUGAGACACGGCCCAGACUCCUACGGGAGGNGCAGG
This 236-nucleotide ribosomal RNA is filed under the name uncultured bacterium. Its description in RNAcentral is "partial 16S ribosomal RNA". It matches the Rfam family "Bacterial small subunit ribosomal RNA", at positions 118 to 348 of the family's 1533-position model. The record is from RNAcentral.